CGCUUCUGUGGAGCAUUCGACCGCUGUUACCUGUCUUCUGCACGUGAGGACGCUUUUAAGGGCACGUCUGUAUGAGGACAGCCUCCAGCAGUAAAUAAACGGAUCCAACGCGAACUUUAACAGCAAAACAUUACCUGCUGUUGAUGGAGUCCAGUAAGCGUCGAUAUAAUGAGUUACAGUCGAAGGAAGCGUAAAGAGCACGAUAAACACUACUAAAGCAAGCGUCACUACAGUCAAUUGGCGCUCGCUGCGUCGUCGGCGUCUUCGGCUCGCCCUCGGAUGAUGUUCCGAAGUGCUUUGCUCGGAAUAAACCUUCGUGGCGUGUCGAUGAAAUGCCGUGUACAGACAAAUGUACGCUACAAGAAGCAUUACCAAGCAUCCAGUAGUGUUCACCCAAAGAUCCAUCUUACUGACCACGUGAUUUGGUACGCCCAUAACCGGAAGUAAGGCGAAAAGGAGCGCGUAAAACCACGCGCAUAUCACCCCUGUGACAGCUCGUUUGGUACUAACCAAAGAGCGGUGCUUGUGGGGCAUUUUGACAGCUAUGUAUUGACUCCACGUGAGCAGUAAUAGGACACCGUACGACGCAUUCAUUGUCACAUACGACACCAGUAGACAUCCUUGGUAGAGCGAGCCAUAAAGCGUUGUGCCUUUAAUGGGAAGCCUGAGAUAGCUAGCGAACUUAACGAAGGCGUAGAUGGGGCCAACUAUGAGACCAGUCAGAAAGUCCGCCACACACAAUCCAAGGAUGAAAACGGUUGAGGGAAUGCGGAAUGUACGGAAUGGGUCUCGCCAUAUUGCCAAGAUUAGAAGUCCAUUCCCCAGGAGUGUGACGAGUGAAAUGAUGGAUACAAAAAUCCCUGAGCCGAAUGUGAUGAGUUCGAGUUGGCCCCACAGAUCGUUAAGAGCCUGGGGAGGAGUACUUGAUGGGACUGCUGUGGUAGCGUUGCCAGGCAACCCAAACUCAUGCUGGAAGUCCAUAGUGUUAGCAGCUUUGGACUUGGAAAUGCGAAAGUAGACACCUUAUACAAAGUUUACUUUUUAGCUACCAAGAUUUCGAUAAUAUAAGGUUCUUGAUGCUGUACCACUUAUCGACGAGCCCGAAGUUCUUGAAGAUUUAGAUUCAAGCUUAACAGCAAAUAUCUUAUUAGAUCGUAGCGGGAGUUUUGUAUGAAAUGACUUGUCGACAACAGACUGAGUAGCUCAGUUCAGUGAGUAGUAGAUAUCCCUCUUUCCUGCAGACCCCAGAUGCAGUAUGUUUAUGCUUUCCGCAAUAUAAAAAUAGCUAAAAGCAACCUGAUAUCACCCUUGUAAACACCCUUGUUCCGGUCUUCCGUGUCAAUGCUUCAUUGUUAAGUCCAAAGUUAUAUUUAAAUACAGUUGUCAAACGUUCC
Molecule: long non-coding RNA, 1394 nt
Organism: Nematostella vectensis (starlet sea anemone)
Lineage: Eukaryota; Metazoa; Cnidaria; Anthozoa; Actiniaria; Edwardsiidae
Exons: 2
Source: RefSeq, a predicted model, not a curated record